AUACGUAGGGAGCAAGCGUUGUCCGGAAUUACUGGGCGUAAAGGGCGCGUAGGCGGGAAUGCAAGUCAGAUGUGAAAACUCCGGGCUCAACUUGGAGAUUGCAUUUGAAACUGUGUUUCUUGAGGGCAGGAGAGGAAAGUGGAAUUCCUAGUGUAGCGGUGAAAUGCGUAGAUAUUAGGAGGAACACCAGUGGCGAAGGCGACUUUCUGGACUGUACCUGACGCUGAGGCGCGAAAGCGUGGGUAGC
This 247-nucleotide ribosomal RNA is filed under the name uncultured bacterium. RNAcentral's name for it is "partial 16S ribosomal RNA". It matches the Rfam family "Bacterial small subunit ribosomal RNA", at positions 523 to 769 of the family's 1533-position model. The record is from RNAcentral.